This 490-nucleotide ribosomal RNA is filed under the name uncultured bacterium. RNAcentral's name for it is "partial 16S ribosomal RNA". It matches the Rfam family "Bacterial small subunit ribosomal RNA", at positions 30 to 507 of the family's 1533-position model. The record is from RNAcentral.
AUUGAACGCUGGCGGCAGGCCUAACACAUGCAAGUCGAGCGGUAACAGGAAGCAGCUUGCUGCUUUGCUGACGAGUGGCGGACGGGUGAGUAAUGUCUGGGAAACUGCCUGAUGGAGGGGGAUAACUACUGGAAACGGUAGCUAAUACCGCAUAACGUCGCAAGACCAAAGAGGGGGACCUUCGGGCCUCUUGCCAUCGGAUGUGCCCAGAUGGGAUUAGCUAGUAGGUGGGGUAACGGCUCACCUAGGCGACGAUCCCUAGCUGGUCUGAGAGGAUGACCAGCCACACUGGAACUGAGACACGGUCCAGACUCCUACGGGAGGCAGCAGUGGGGAAUAUUGCACAAUGGGCGCAAGCCUGAUGCAGCCAUGCCGCGUGUAUGAAGAAGGCCUUCGGGUUGUAAAGUACUUUCAGCGGGGAGGAAGGGAGUAAAGUUAAUACCUUUGCUCAUUGACGUUACCCGCAGAAGAAGCACCGGCUAACUCCGUG